Molecule: unclassified non-coding RNA, 223 nt
Filed under: plant metagenome
Description: partial contains small subunit ribosomal RNA, internal transcribed spacer 1, and 5.8S ribosomal RNA
Source: RNAcentral
UCUCCGUUGGUGAACCAGCGGAGGGAUCAUUACCGAGUUAUCAACUCCCAAACCCCAGUGAACACACCCAACGUUGCUUCGGCGGGACCGCCCCGGCGCCCUCGGCGUCCCGGAACCAGGCGCCCGCCGGAGGACCCAAACUCUUGUUUAAACCAUAGUGGCAUAUUCUGAGUCUCACAAGAAAAAUGAAUCAAAACUUUCAACAACGGAUCUCUUGGCUCUG